GUUAAUCUCAAUCGUGUCUGUUGCUGGAGAGGAGGAAAAGAGAGUUGUUCUUCUGCUCUCCCCACCCCUCCUCCAUAUCUGUCCCUUCUACCCUGGAAGGAUGGAGGGGGAGGAGGAAAGGUCUAGUGAGCCUCUUAAGGAGAGCUGGGUGCACCUCAGACCUCCAGAGUGGAUGCCUGUUGACCACAGCUUAAGGAUCCUGGGACAGACAUUCUGCAGCCUCCUCAGUCCAUCAGGUGCUAAAAGAAACAGCGCGGUGGUAAGGAGAGCAGACACUUGCUGACUUCCAGCUGUGGAGGGGACACCUCUGAUUGCUUUCAUUCUAACAGCUCGGAGAGGCUGGGGUUACUGUCUCACUCAUCCUACAUCUCAGGAAACCAAGGCAUGGGGCUGACAUCCACGCCAAGGUCAGGAUGCCACCCAGGUUCAGGCCGCCAGGGCUCGCUCAAAGGGCUUACCCACCACACACACUGCAGCUCACUCACAGCAACACGGGAAGCCAGAGAAGAAGCAGCCGAACUGUAAUUAGAGGCCAGAGGAGGAGACGCAGAGACCAUCUCAGGAUUUAUGCCUGAGUGGUGGUGAUGUGGCGAGAGUCCUCUGUGUAAUGAAGAUGUCACCUUCUAAUGAGUUUGGAAGAAAGGAGAGUGUGUUAGCCGGAGGUCUAUUUUUGGAUCUUUAUCUUCUGAUAUUAUGAAGAAGAAGAUGAAACCUCCUGACUGUUUUUUCUGUCUAUGGGAUCUCUGAUUGGAAUUAUUCUUUCAAGGAUGCACUCCCCAGACUCGGGCUGAGGGGAGUUUGUUCAGUUUUUCAUUAAAAACGGCUCCCACACCUAACAGGUUCUUCAUCUUUUUCACCUUCAUAGCUAGGAACUCUCCCACAGGGGGGUCUGGAGUUCUUGAAAUAUUUUUAGGUUGCCAGGUUUCUUGUGUGGGCUCUCCAGAAAGCCAAUUUUAUUUCUGAGUCCUCACAGCCGUCCAGUUCUGUCUUCCACUCCCUCACUGAAUGGCCACACAAUGCUGCCUACUUACUGGUUUUUGUGGGGGCCCAGAGAUAUUGGUCUAUAGGGUAUUGAAUAUGCUAUUAACCUCCUCAGAUGGGAGGGGAGUCUCUUCUCCAUGUCAAUCUCCAGGCCUUGUAAUAGGGUUCCUCUGUAAUUCUUUGCAGCCUGAUGCAAGAUGGGAUCAAAUGUCAUAAUUCAAUGCACUUUGAGCAUCUCAAAAGGGGACAGAGAAGAGGGCUGUCUGUUUGUGGUGGUGCCCAUCUUUAAGGAGAGCUCCCUAAAAGCCAAAGACUCCUAUUGUGUGACUUCUUCAUGCCUGCAGGGAGAAGCCAAUCUCCUCAGGACUAGGUAAGAGACUGCUGUUAGUCCUGUGAAGCACAGUCAAGUCAAAGUUGAGAGCUGUCGCCGGAAUUUUUAGCUGGGUACUUCCUAAUUGUGUAUUCUUUUAAAAAAAUUAAAGUUUUUUUCCAUUUUA
Molecule: long non-coding RNA, 1478 nt
Organism: Mus musculus (house mouse)
Lineage: Eukaryota; Metazoa; Chordata; Mammalia; Rodentia; Muridae
Product: predicted gene, 50627
Exons: 2
Source: RefSeq, a predicted model, not a curated record